RNAcentral lists this ribosomal RNA (253 nucleotides) under uncultured bacterium. Its description in RNAcentral is "partial 16S ribosomal RNA". It matches the Rfam family "Bacterial small subunit ribosomal RNA", at positions 524 to 775 of the family's 1533-position model. The record is from RNAcentral.
UACGGGGGGUGCGAGCGUUGUCCGGAAUCACUGGGCGUAAAGGGCGCGUAGGUGGUUUGAUAAGGGUGUGGUGAAAGUCCGGGGCUCAACCCCGGAUCUGCCGUGCCGACUGUCAAACUCGAGGACUGUAGAGGCAGACGGAAUUCCGGGUGUAGCGGUGGGAAUGCGUAGAGAUCCGGAGGAAGACCGGUGGCGAAGGCGGUCUGCUGGGCAGUUUCUGACACUGAGGCGCGACAGCGUGGGGAGCAACAGG